GCACGAGCUAACGCUCACUGAGCACUGAGUAUAUGGCCAUCACACUAAUGACGUCCAGUGAGGACCUGUGUUGGGAAGACUUGAGAAUGGCUCUGGCCUUGAUGUGUUUUAUAAAAUAAGAUUUGAUGUUUUCUUCCAUUAAAAUUAGCUGAUAUUUACACCCAGAGGGUGCCAAGCCCCACGCUAUAUUAUUUCAUUAUUAUGCACGGUUUCAUUUCAUCCUAGCACCAAUCCAGUGAAGGGUUCUUUUGUCCUCAUUUGGCAGGGAAGGAAAUGGAAGCUCGGGACGCCUCCUCAAGCCUCCAGCCAAGUUCUCUGUCACUGCUGAUCUCCUUGGCACGAUGACACGUCUGAUCAGGCACACCGGAGAACGCCCACUUUGGCUUCAGAAGGGUCUACCUCCCACUCCCACCUGGAUUCAACUCUCGACCCCAUCCACGAGAGACCUAUUACCAGGAUUUCUUCUUGUAGGCCCUCGGGACUGGAAGAAAUCAUGCACUGCAGGCGCUCCCCUCUUCCAGAAUCUAAAAGCACAGUGCAGAAGCAAACCAACCCCAUCACCUAUCACCCUGUGGCAGUCCCUUGAUAAUGAUCCAAGAAAAUCCAUUUCCGUUGAAGGAUGCAUUGGAGAACUCGCCCUGUUCUCAAGGGCCACCAGCCGGAAGCAGAGCAGAGUCAGGAAAGGUGACACUAAGAGGAGCAGACCCGUCUCCUGGCUGCUGUUCUCACAGAGGGUCCUAGGACCGCCCUGGCACACAAGUGCUCCAAGUCAUAAGCAGUGUGCACAGCGGGGGAGGCCAGGCCUCUACUGCAGCUCAGGAGAGGGCGGGCACCAGCUGCUGAACCAGGGUCCUCCUCCGGCCAGUAGGGAAUGCAAUGAUGCUUCGAAUAAGGCCUCUCUGUGGAUGGACAGCACCUGCGUGUUGGGCAAGGUGGAAUGUUAAUAACCUUGACCCCAGAUGGAAAUCUGCAAGGGUCAGACUCUGCCACACCCUUGGAGGCCUAUGUCUGACUGAGCUCCUACUGAGCUUUGGGCCACUUAGGCCCCUCCAUUGCUUUUUCAUCUGAAGACACAGGAAGGGUCAAGCCUCCAUCUUCUGAGAAUCAAUGGCCAAGGGGCACGGAGCGGGGAGAGGCUGGUUUUUAUCAUGAAUCUAUGAUUUUAUUUUCCACUGAACAUCACAAGAAUGGACCCUCUGAACCACCGCUCUUGCUGCUGCUGCUGCUGAUGAGCUCUGUUCUCCGUCACUGAAGAUCCAUCUUGUCCAUGUGAUAAGAAAUACAGCCCACGAAGCCUUGCAAGUCUGACCUUGUGUGGCCUUUGUUGCCCAAGAGGCAACAUACUCUCUGGUGCAAAGUUCAAUGUCCUGGGGAAGGGUUCCAGCUGAGCUAGCUGGGCUUGGCUUCUCACCUGGACCAAUCGGCUAGUGCCAGGGGGCAGGACCAUGAAGAACAUGGCAUCUCCAUCCUGCCAUGUUGGUGAAGCAGGAAGAAUAAGGGGGAAGCUUCUCCCAGAAGAACAGCUACACUGGAUAAGUGAAAAAUAAAUGUCUGUUCUAAGCAGUCUCUACAUCUCGCCUCCACUUCCUCACGCGAACUUACCCUCAACCACUUGCAAUCUAAUUUUUGCUCCCGCCACUCUACUGAGGCAGCUUUCUAAGUAAUCAACAGUGAUUUCAUAAUUAAUAAACCUGAUUGUCCCCUAGGAACUCCCAGUAUAAGAGUUGUCAACAUGGGGCUGGUUCUAGUUACAGCGCCCACUGCAGCAGAGGCCUCUUGGGUUUGUCUGUCCAACCUGGGAACCAAUGACCACCCUCUUCCCUGGAAACUUCCAUUUCUCCCAUAAAUAGGGGUGGGACAUGAUGCUUGUGUUAAAACCAUGUCAACC
Equus caballus (horse) is the source of this 1888-nucleotide long non-coding RNA. NCBI's taxonomy places the organism in Eukaryota, Metazoa, Chordata, Mammalia, Perissodactyla, Equidae. The record is from Ensembl.